GUGCCAGCCGCCGCGGUAAUACGUAGGAGGCGAGCGUUGUCCGGAUUUACUGGGCGUAAAGGGCGCGCAGGCGGCCUUGCAAGUAGCGUGUGAAAUCCACCUGCUCAACGGGUGGGGUGCAUGGUAGACUGCAGGGCUAGAGGACGGUAGAGGGGGGUGGAAUUGCUGGUGUAGCGGUGAAAUGCGUAGAGAUCAGCAGGAACACCCGUGGCGAAGGCGGCCCCCUGGGCCGUACCUGACGCUGAGGCGCGAAGGCUAGGGGAGCGAACGGGAUUAGAAACCCUCGUAGUCC
Molecule: ribosomal RNA, 292 nt
Filed under: uncultured bacterium
Lineage: Bacteria
Description: partial 16S ribosomal RNA
Rfam family: Bacterial small subunit ribosomal RNA
Source: RNAcentral